AUGAAGAUGAGAAAACAGCGUUAUCAAAACAAAGAGGAGAUCGCCGAAGGUAUAUCUGAGCUCGUAAAGAAGAAGCAAUAUCCGGUGAAGAAGUUGAACGCCCUGUACAAUACUCUGGUGGCUAGCAGCAAGUUCCGAGGAUUACGUAAGACACGACGACGCAACGAUAAUGACACAGGUGGUACCAAGAUAAGGAUAGGUCCAGCUUCUGUAACAGAAAGAGAGUUAGUACAAUGCCUAAUGCCUAAAGGAAAGAUGUGCAAAAAUAUGAUGUGGUUACUGUCCGUGGCACUUAUGUAUGAUUGGGGAUCAAAGACCAAGGUCAUAUUGGACCAGACAGUUAUAACCGAAUUGCUCAGAAAACAAAAUAAAUGCAACCAUGCAUAUCUAUGCAAGAAGCUUAGUAAGUUGCAACUUGAAAAUGUUGAGCAGUGGGUAAUGGAUGUCUUCAGGAAGGAAAUUUGCUAUAUCCUUGUUUACCACCGCUUCAAUGAUCUCAACCCAAGGAGGCCUGAGAUUAAGAAGUUAGCAUCAUCUGUGAAGACAACAAUAGACUGA
RNAcentral lists this ribosomal RNA (558 nucleotides) under Triticum aestivum (bread wheat). RNAcentral's name for it is "partial small subunit ribosomal RNA". The record is from RNAcentral. Lineage: Eukaryota; Viridiplantae; Streptophyta; Magnoliopsida; Poales; Poaceae.